UACGGAGGGGGCUAGCGUUGUUCGGAAUUACUGGGCGUAAAGCGCGCGUAGGCGGACCUGCAAGUCGGGGGUGAAAUCCUGGAGCUCAACUCCGGAACUGCCUUCGAUACUGGAGAGCUUGAGUCCGGGAGAGGUGAGUGGAACUGCGAGUGUAGAGGUGAAAUUCGUAGAUAUUCGCAAGAACACCAGUGGCGAAGGCGGCUCACUGGCCCGGUACUGACGCUGAGGUGCGAAAGCGUGGGGAGCAAACAGG
This 253-nucleotide ribosomal RNA is filed under the name uncultured bacterium. RNAcentral describes it as "partial 16S ribosomal RNA". It matches the Rfam family "Bacterial small subunit ribosomal RNA", at positions 524 to 776 of the family's 1533-position model. The record is from RNAcentral.